CCCCCAAAAUGUCCCCAAUGUCCCAUAAUAUCCCAAAUAUCCCCCACUGUCCCCCCAAAAUGUCCCCAAUGUCCCAUAACAUCCCAUAAUAUCCCAAAUUUCCCCCAUUGUCCCCCAAUGUCCCCCCAAAUGUCCCCCAAACGACCCCAAAAACAACGCAGCGACAGCAGUGUAAAAAAAAUCUCCAUUUUGGCAGCGCAAUAUUUACAGCCCCUCCCCUCCCACAAACAGGGCCUUCGUUAACGAGGCCGCGCUAAUUAAUGCCAACCUCCCCCCUCCCACAUGGGGUAACGGUGGNNNNNNNNNNNNNNNNNNNNGUGUUGGGCGAGGAGGAGGAAAUGGGAGGAGGAAGAGGAAGUUGAGGUUGAGGGAGGGGGAAGAGGAGGAAGAAGGAGGAAGAGGAAGAGAAAAAAGAGGAAGGAGGAGGAAGAGGAGGAGGAAGGAGGAAGAGGAGGAAGGAGGAAGAGGAGGAAGGAGGAAGAGGAGGAAGGAGGAAGAGGAGGAAGGAGGAAGAGGAGGAAGGAGGAAGAGGAAGCUGAAGUUGAAAGAGGAGGAAGAGAAGCUGAGGUUGAAGCUGGAGGAAGAGGAGGAAGGAGGAGGAAGAGGAAAAAGAGGAAGGAGGAGGAAGAGGAAAAAGAGGAAGGAGGAGGAAGAGGAAAAAGAAGAAGCAGAGGAAGAAGGGGAAGAGGAGGAAG
RNAcentral lists this long non-coding RNA (695 nucleotides) under Phasianus colchicus (ring-necked pheasant). RNAcentral's name for it is "lncRNA (ENSPCLG00000013309.1)". The record is from RNAcentral. Lineage: Eukaryota; Metazoa; Chordata; Aves; Galliformes; Phasianidae.